This 423-nucleotide ribosomal RNA is filed under the name uncultured bacterium. RNAcentral's name for it is "bacterial SSU rRNA". It matches the Rfam family "Bacterial small subunit ribosomal RNA", at positions 359 to 774 of the family's 1533-position model. The record is from RNAcentral.
GAAUCUUCCACAAUGGACGAAAGUCUGAUGGAGCAAUGCCGCGUGAGUGAAGAAGGUUUUCGGAUCGUAAAACUCUGUUGUGAGGGAAGAACAAGUAUGAGAGUAACUGCUCGUACCUUGACGGUACCUCAUUAGAAAGCAACGGCUAACUACGUGCCAGCAGCCGCGGUAAUACGUAGGGGGCAAGCGUUGUCCGGAAUUAUUGGGCGUAAAGCGCGCGCAGGCGGUUCUUUAAGUCUGAUGUGAAAGCCCACGGCUCAACCGUGGAGGGCCAUUGGAAACUGGAGAACUUGAGUACAGAAGAGGAAAGCGGAAUUCCACGUGUAGCGGUGAAAUGCGUAGAGAUGUGGAGGAACACCAGUGGCGAAGGCGGCUUUCUGGUCUGUAACUGACGCUGAGGCGCGAAAGCGUGGGGAGCAAACA